GACCUGGUGGCUCAUUGGUCUAAGCGCGCGCACCAUAAUCGCGGUGACCCGGGUUCGAAUCCAGCUCAGGUCA
This is a non-coding RNA of Gymnothorax javanicus (giant moray), 73 nucleotides long. NCBI's taxonomy places the organism in Eukaryota, Metazoa, Chordata, Actinopteri, Anguilliformes, Muraenidae. The record is from the annotation of a GenBank genome assembly.